Molecule: long non-coding RNA, 4771 nt
Organism: Chelonia mydas (Green sea turtle)
Lineage: Eukaryota; Metazoa; Chordata; Testudines; Cheloniidae
Exons: 7
Source: RefSeq, a predicted model, not a curated record
UAGCUACGGAGCAAGUAGGACUUCUGAUUGGGCCUGAACCGUAAAGUAGGUUAUAAUACCCUGAACGAGAUUGGCCGCAGAUUAUGCACGCUGACUAGCCAGCGCCAUCGAUUGGCUGUAUUUGAAGGGUCCCAAUGACGAUGUGAUCCCAUCAGGCUGUGCUCGUGGCCCUGCUCCAGAUGUGCCCGUCUACAUAGGAGACAGUAGCGGUAUACCGAGAUUUGUGAACAACAGCCAGUUCGAGUCUGCCAUGUCUGUAUCGUGCCUUCGGUACAUCAGAAAACACCACCAAAGGAUGCACCAGUGACUUGUGGAUGCUUUUCCCGUUUCCUGAAACAGGAGUGAAAGCCCAAGCAAGACAAGUUCUUCAACUGGUGACUCCUCCACAUAGCUUGCACCAGUUGCCAGGAAUGUGCAGACCCAAAAAAUAGUUUGAUUAGAUAUGUUGGUGCACUGAGACAAUGUUGUGUAAAGUGCUGCGGCGUGGACAAGCAAGUUUUCUCACAGUGCACCACAAACAAAUGGCUAGAGCAACUAUAGCUGGGGAGUGCACUAGGAAGCCUGGGAUAGUUUAGUUUGACUAUGUUCUACGUAUCGUAGUGUAGACAUGUAAGACCCAGGUCCAGAAACUGUAAACUUAGGGUCAAUAUGCAGUGUGGAUGCUCAAGCCCGGGCUUACAAACACUGAGUUUGCAGGCUUGAAUCCCACAGACCUGGGCUUAAAUUGCAGUGUAGACAUACCGUAAGGACUUUUGUGAGCACAAUUAUGUCAUAGAAUCAUAGAACCAUGGGAUUAGAAGGGACUGCAAGGGUCAUCUAGUCUACCCCCUUGGCAGGAUACAGGAUUUGUUGUGUCUAAACCAUCUAAGACAGAUGGCUAUCCAGCCUUUUUUUGAAAACCUCCAGCGAAGGCAGUUUGUUCAAUUGUCCUACAGUUUUUACAGUUAGGAAGUUUUUCCUGAGAUUCAAUCUAAAUCUGCUAUGCUGUAGUUUGAACCCAUUGCCUCUUGUCCUGCCCUCAGUGGCAAGAGAGAAUCAUUUUUCUCCAUCUUUUUUAUGGCAGCUUUUCAAGUAUUUGAAGGCCAGUGCCUCAGACCUCCGGAGCUUCCCUCGUUGCUUAUGCACACUCUCUGAGUGUCCUUCCUGCACUGUGUUCAGGCUGGGCAUCUAAUUUAACCUCUUUGGGGCCAACCAGGCAGGAAGGCAAGGAACACCAGCUUGCUUAGCAAAGGAAUUUCUUAACUACAUUCACUUCACUCUGAAAGCAUUAGACUUACAAGUUUUGCAAAAUAACAAGUACUGAGAUGUAACCCCCCUCUACUAGCCUCUAGUUUGAGCUCACCCCUUCUGUGAGUCAGAACUCUUGUCAGCAUUUCAGGCUAGGCAAAGACUCUCCUGCCAUCUCUCUCUCCAGACAGUGCCUUUUUUACAUAUGGUGAUGAUCUGUCUCCCUUCAGAGAAAAGGAGAGGUUACUCAGCUUGUACAGUAACUGAGUUCCUUUAUAUGUAUGUCCCUAUGGGUAGUUCAUUUCAGGUGUGCAUGUGCCCCUGUGUCUUUGGAGAUUUUUAGUAGCAGUGCCAUAUACACCCAAUACACCCUUGUGCCCCAUUCCCAGGAUAUAUAAGGCUUUGUGGGUGAAUUGCCCUCAGUUUCUUCUCUACCACAAAGUCUCACAGAGAAAACGCCGAACAGAGAGGAAGGAGGGAGUGUAAUGGAGCACCCAUAGGGACAUGCAUCUUAAAGAAUUCCAGUUACUGCUCAAGGUGAGUAACCUCUCCUUCUUUGAGUAGUGUCCCUAUAGGUGCUCCAUUUCAGGUGACUCCCAAGCAGUAUUCCCAUAAAGAGGAGGGAGCUCUGGAACAGAGUCCAAUACUGAAAAGAGAACUGCAUUGUUAAUUGCAGCAUCUGACCUAGAGGCAUGAACCAGAGCAUAAUUGUUGGAGAAAGUAUGUACAGAAGUCCAAGUUGCAGCUCUGCAGAUUUCAGCAUCUUUGAAUAAUGCCACAGAUGUAGACUGUGAUCUUGUAAAAGUGGUUAUCACUCUAGAAAGAGGUUAAAUCUCAGCCAAGUCAUAAUGGGCAAUAAUACACCCCAAGAUCCAUGCUGGGAGUGUCUUGGUGAAGACUGUGGAUCCUUUGUGUAGUGAGGCAAAACAACUUCCAUCUAGUACAGAGGGGGUUAACGCCCGUCAUGGGUGCAGCCAACCCCACCUUGCCCCCCUUGAGGAAGUGCAGGGGUGGAGUAGGAAGUAUAAGAAUAUGGCCCUGCAGCUCAGUUUUGGGCAGACCAGGGAAGGAGGCAGACGUUCCUCUGACAGAGCUGAGCUUUCAGUGAAGCCCAUGAGUGGUAGUGGGGAGAAAAGGCAACCCACUGCUCCAGGAUAUGGAUCACCUCGGGGAGAGAUGGGAGGAAGGGCCACCUGACAGUGAGACUGAGAGCCAGGUUCCAGAAGCGACAGAGUAGUGCCAGCAGAACCACGUAGGAUGUAGCCCAGGAAAGCAUGACAUUGGUCUGAUUGUGCGUCGGGAGGCAAGACAGUAAUCACACAUUUCCCCACCAACCCAGUGGCAAGAUUGCCUGCUACUGCUAGGGCCCUGGGCUGGGACCUGGUGGAGAGGGUGGGCCCGGGUCCCUCUACUCCCUAACCCCAGCCCUCGAAUGCGGGACUGAUAGCACACUAUCCUUUAGGCUAGAAGGCCAGUGACAGAGUUUAAUUGCUGUGCCCAUGUCCAGAGGGCUCAAGCCCCUAGACUAUUGGUGUCCACCCCAGUAGGCCAGGGCUACCAGCUGACUGGUGUGUGCUGAAUCCUCCUUUUUGCACCCUGAACUGUCAUUUGGGCAAUUGAGCAGCUGCAAGUCAGACCGCCCAAUGACCUGCUGGAGGGCAUACCAAUUUCCCGAUGCCUCCAAAAGGGGGUGGCCUCAACCCAAGAGGGAGGACAGUUACACUUUGGACCUGGCCAUAGUUGAAAUGAAGAGUAAACAGUUUUCUGCUGUGUAAUAACACUCUUUUCACUUUGCCUUAACAGAUUGUUUUUAAUCCCAUGAUCCAUUAACCAGCCAUGUGUUGAGGCAAAGAACUCUUGAGAUUUGGGUGAAGGAUCUUUCCAGCUUGCCCCUCCCCUUCUCGCACAGGAAGAUGGGAAGUGAUUAGUGAGCAAGCAAAUGGCCCACUGUCUGAGAACUUGGGAUAUUAGGAGCCAGAGGGAACACAUAUAGAAGACCCGAAUACCAUCGAAGGUGAAAAGCAUGUUAGAGGGAUUGGUGACCCACCCUGUCACUUGGUUGGAACUGAGUGCAUUUCUUGUUUGUGGCAAACAGCUCUAUCUGAGGGGUGCCUCAUAGUUGACGUAUGCGGUGAAGUACAAAGGAAUCUAUUACCCACUCGUGGUCUUGUGAAAAGUGCCUACUGAAUGUAUCCGUGGUCACAUUCUGAGCUCCUGGAAGUUGCAGGUCUAGUUUGAGGAAGACAUCUAUGGCCUUGCAAGUUGCCUGUGAAAUUUUGUCCUGGGAGCAACCUUUCAGAAGCCAAUUGUCUAGGUAAAAAGGCAAGGCUUGCCGAACAUCGAGGGAGUGGCGUCUUUGUUCUUCUGUGGAAAUGUGUGGUUUUGGGAAGAACACAAAUAGGACAUGGAGAAACACCCCAUAAAUGCAAGACUGAACUUUCAUUCAGUUUUUCUUGUGUAAGGUGUUAUUCAGUAACCCAGGUGGACACCUCUCUCUCUUGCUCCCUCAUAUGAAGUCUAUUGACACUGGAGAAGGAAGACAGAGGAUAACAGCACCCAAACAUUGGUAGAUACAGCUACGGGUGAAACUGAUUGAGACUUCAUAAUGUCUGCUUCUCUGGUCAGUCAGGUAACAUCACAUGGCAGAAUCAGUAGGAACCAGAUAUGUAUCAUAACUAAACAUGAUCAGGGAUGCAUGAUGCAGUAAUGUUAAUGUUAUGUGUAAAUUCAAAUGACAAAUACAUAUCUUUAUGCUUGAAGCAUGCUUGAACUCUUAUUUGUUGUUAAGUUUGCCUCAUUGUAAAUGCAUCUCAUAAAUGGGGGUCUGGAAACCUGUGUGAAGAGUUUUCCUGCUUAAAAGAUACCCAAGAUUCAAAAAAAUCUGCCAGGAUGUUUUCCACAGCAUUUAAAGAUUUCAUUUAGAAAGCUAAGUUUGUAGUCCUUCUCUCUUUUUGUAAAGAUAACCUUUUAAAAAACAAACAAAAAAAGCGGUGCUAUCUUCAUCUUCCUGAGUCUAGAGACAUACUAAAAUAGCUGUAAAAUGUAUACUGCUCCAUUCUUCUCAAUGUAGUGGUUAUUCUGCAGCUUAUAAGCAAUUUAAAAGUCACUGUUAACUCUUUCACUUAUGCUUGUCAUAUCAUCUGAACAGUGAAUGAAUCUGAAAGGACAUUCCACAAAAGUUUUAAAAGAUGCCAAUAAUAUUCUAUCAUAUUUCUUCCCCAGCCAGUCAGCAAAGGGUGACCAAUUCCCCAGUUUACCAGCAGUCUUAAUUUCUGGGGUUACCCUAAUCUGCCAACAGAUUAUACUGAAACAUUGGUUAAAACCCAAUUACAGUAUGCUCACUAGCCACCUGGUCAGCCAGCUUCUCCACAACUUUUAGUUCCUAAUACGGCCAGUGCUUCUAACACUCUGUAUCUUAAGAGUCUCAGAUUUCAAGGUCAGAAGGGCCCACUGUGAUCAUCUAGACUGAUCUCCGAUAUAACACAGGCCAUAGAACUUCCUCAAAAUUCCUAGAGCAGAUCUUUUAGAAAAACAUCCAAUCUCG